Elaeis guineensis (African oil palm) is the source of this 588-nucleotide long non-coding RNA. RefSeq lists it as uncharacterized. The record is from RefSeq and is a predicted model, not a curated record. Lineage: Eukaryota; Viridiplantae; Streptophyta; Magnoliopsida; Arecales; Arecaceae.
AUAGCGACGGAGGGCUUUCUCUGUCUUAACAUCGGUCCGAGCUCUCUCUCGCUCGACCAUGGAGCGAUCCGAGUCCUUUCAUUCGGCCAUGGCGUGGAGCAGCAGCAGCGACGUAGAACAUACGGAGGACGAGGGCAUCGCCUGCGGAAUGCAACAUUAACUUACAAUAUUUUCUUAUUUUGUUUUUUGUUAUAAUUUUGUAAGCACUGCAGCUCAAAAUGUUAAACCAAAUAGCCACUGUGAAAGAUGAUGGAGGUAUAGUUGUUGACAUCUUUAUGCUAUAUAUAGAGAUAUUGUGAUCAUAAGCCUAGAAUUUGGAUUAUUCUUUGGUGCAUGGAGAUGUUUACGGCUGGAUCUCGUGUUGAAAUAUAUUUUAGUGAAUUUACGGGGAGUGUGAUAGUAUAAUUUCUCACUGCUGGUGUCCCAUUGGCCAGUCUGUUGUCCAUUUAUGAGAACAUACAACUGAGUUGUUUGUUAGCUACCAUACAUCAAAUUACUUGGCGUAUGUGGCUUUUUGUCUCCUGGAUUUUACCAUUCUUGUAGGCUUAGUUGCCUGUUGGUUCCUUCUGACGAUGAUAAUUAAAUUGA